This is a long non-coding RNA of Ipomoea nil (Japanese morning glory), 2015 nucleotides long. RefSeq lists it as uncharacterized. The record is from RefSeq and is a predicted model, not a curated record. Lineage: Eukaryota; Viridiplantae; Streptophyta; Magnoliopsida; Solanales; Convolvulaceae. The transcript is spliced from 4 exons.
UUUUGUUCAUUGUUCAUCUAAGUCUCUGUUCGGUUAAAAAUUUUUCUAGGUUAGAACAUUAUAGCUAUAUUUGAUGGUUUGUGUACUAAUUUUGCCAGGAAAUUAACUAAAAAUUUUGUUAAUCUAAAACCUAGUUUUAGUUGUAAUUGUUCCGGUGUUGGUAGUUGUAAUUGUUCACCUAAUAUGUAUUUUGUUCUAGAUUUUGUUUGUUUAGUUUCGUACUAAAAUAGAGACUUUUGCACACAAUAACACUUUAAUUGUUAAUUCAAAUUUUAAUCUGUACGAAAUUUGGGUUUUACAACUUUUUUUUUUAUAUAUAAAAUUGUUGUGUUUUUGUGCAGGCCAAGGUUUUAGAUAGUUUAGCACAAUAGUAGAAGCCUUAAAAAGCAAGCCAGGUUUACAAAAUUACCAUAAAGAACAAAAACAUACAACCUGACCCCAUUAGGAAGCAUAUCAUAGAAAGACUUAGUAGCAUUACAUUUUGUCCAACUUAACAACUAAAGUCUCAAAGUCUUUUAUAAAUAAAAGACUGUCUGGCCUAAGAAUUACAUCACCAAAAGGAUCCUGUAAAUAAAACAAAUAAAUUGAAUUCUUAUUCAAUUUAUAAAUAAGAAAACAGGAUAUGUGUGCAAGUAUAUAAACCUCAUGCUCAUGAUCUGUGAUGUUGAUUUCAGAGUCAUUGUUCCCACAAUGCUUAAUUUACAACAGCAGCACCUUCACAUAUAUAGAAAUUCAAAAUUCAAAAUUCAAAAUCUGUUAGUGAGAAAAAAAAAACAUUUAGAAUUGUUACCUAAUCCAAAUUUUCCUCUGUUUUGUUAGACUCAAGUUGUGAGGAUAGGUCCUUAUGUCCAGCAAUUCAAAUCAAUAGGCAUCCACCAUGCAGGCCAUUUAUGAUUUUUAUAACAGUAAAGAAAUGCCUUGCAAAUAUCAUGUAAGGUAUGUAUGUCAAGAUACUACCAAAGAGAAUAUAAUAAAACCAAUUCACUCUCUUUCACUUUCUUUGCCAUUCCAAGAGUUACUAUUGAACUGUCUGGCCAUUCCAGAUCUAUGUAUACUGCUUUUUAAGAUCCUUAAAUGUUGUUAAAAGUAUGCAUUAGUUAACUGUUAACCCGAAUUUCAGUAAACUGCAUCUCAAAUACCUUAGUUAGAUAACAGUUUUUUUAUAUAUUUUUUUGUCUGACUUGAAGAUAGACAUAGAUUUUGUAUAUUGAUAAUCUGGAAUUCAACUUGUAUGUUAGCUUAAUGACUUAACUGGUAGAUAAAUUCUUUCUAUAUGUGCUACAAUUUAAAACUGUUAUCUGUGAGAUUUUAUACAUUAUAUAAGAGGUGCAGUAGAAAUUAGAGCACGGGAUUACCUUUGUGUGAUCCAUAUGUGAGCCAAUUGUAUACUCAUAAUUUUUCAACUGAAAUGCAACAAAUUGUACACUUCAGACUUCAAUUGGCGAUGGGCACAGAGUAUACAAUUGGGCUAAUUGGACUCAAAGGAGUAUAAAAUUCCAGGUACUAAACUUCCCUAAGAAAAAUGCAGAAUCACUGAGAUGGAAGUAUACCAUAGUAUUUGUCUGCUUCCUACAGAGUUGAUAAUCUCUUUUCCUUUUUGGUACCUCAAUAUUCUCAAGUAGCAGCCUUGAACAAAUUAGAUGAAGGGCACAGUAUUGGGGAUGCAAACAACAUCUGUGUAACUGAGAUACUUAACAAUAUUUCAAAAUGGAAGAUGUUUUGCAGCCGGCUCUUUUGGAUAUGAAAGUUUCGGCGGCCACUCAUCAUACAGACGUUUUCCCCGCUGUUUCCUUUCCGGCGAGUCUGGUAUCACUGCUGCCCUGCUCUUUACUUUCCGUCGAGACUGGUAUCACUGCUGCCCUGCUCUUUACUUUCCGUCGACUGGUAUCACUGCUGCCCUGCAUGACCUAGUGUUUGUAUUGAAGACUGAAACUUUGAUAGUCUUUGUAUUGGAGAGAAAGUGUGUAUAUAUAUAGAUAUUUAGAUAGAAUUGCUUCCCUAUUGUUAGUUAACGA